Molecule: long non-coding RNA, 806 nt
Organism: Papaver somniferum (opium poppy)
Lineage: Eukaryota; Viridiplantae; Streptophyta; Magnoliopsida; Ranunculales; Papaveraceae
Exons: 3
Source: RefSeq, a predicted model, not a curated record
CUCUCUUUCUCAGUUCAUCAGUGGCAGAGAGUUUAGCGUUUUAGGGGGUUUUUAUUUUCAGGGUUCAGGGGUUUUUUUAUUUUGGAGGGAGAAUGCUAAUCAUUCUCUGAUGAAGAAAAGAGAUCUAUUUUCUUUCAUCUUCAGCCAUGAUAUCAAAUUAUAAGGGCACUGCGUUGGAAGUGGGUCAAUGAUGGUGGAAAAAUUGCCGCCAAAUGAGCUAGGUAACUGCAGUUAGCAGCAGAUCCACCGUGCAGGUAACCACUGACAAUGCUCAAGUGGAGUCAACUAUCCUGCAGCUGCAAGCACAGGCAGCUGAUGAAGCGGGAGGAAGUAGAGGUUUAAAAGCAACCAAAUUGGGCAAUACAGCUCAAGCUGCACCUUGUCAUCCUGGCGCAACAUGAUGUUAGCUAGUGAACAAACCAAAAGGUACUCUCGUUUUGCAGCGACUCAAGGGUACUGUACGAACCCUAGCUUACCAUUUUAUGUUUUGCACCACCUUUAGAGUUGGCGACUAAAGGUGAAUUCAUUGGAAAAGGAGUUACAUAUCUAAGAUUCUUUGCUCAUGAAGAUGCAGAUAUCCAAAGUCGAACUUAUUUUUUUUAACCAAAGGGAUAUAUAUUAAACAUUAUAUAGAACAGCUCGAUUGUUCUGAUAAAUGUUUUCAGACUAUCUGACAAAAAACGGAUAGAAAAUGCACAAGCGUUUGAUACCAGCAGCUCUUUUAUUAGUGCAUUUUGCACAUGCAAAUAAGUAAUUGUAAACAUCUGCCGGUAUGUGUUCAUUUUAUUAAUCUCUUUGACUUCUAA